This 430-nucleotide ribosomal RNA is filed under the name uncultured bacterium. RNAcentral describes it as "bacterial SSU rRNA". It matches the Rfam family "Bacterial small subunit ribosomal RNA", at positions 355 to 776 of the family's 1533-position model. The record is from RNAcentral.
UGGGGAAUAUUGCGCAAUGGGGGAAACCCUGACGCAGCAACGCCGCGUGAGUGACGAAGGCCUUCGGGUUGUAAAGCUCUGUCGCCCCGGACGAAACUUCUUUUGCCUAAUACGCAAGAGAAUUGACGGUACGGGGAAAGGAAGCACCGGCUAACCACGUGCCAGCAGCCGCGGUAAUACGUGGGGUGCAAGCGUUGUUCGGAAUUACUGGGCGUAAAGCGCGUGUAGGCGGCUGAUUAUGUCAGGUGUGAAAGCCCUAGGCUCAACUUAGGAAGUGCGCCUGAAACUGAUCAGCUUGAGUACGAGAGAGGAGGACGGAAUUCCCAGUGUAGAGGUGAAAUUCGUAGAUAUUGGGAGGAACACCGGCGGCGAAAGCGGUUCUCUGGAUCGAUACUGACGCUAAGACGCGAAAGCGUGGGGAGCAAACAGG